Molecule: ribosomal RNA, 854 nt
Filed under: uncultured bacterium
Lineage: Bacteria
Description: bacterial SSU rRNA
Rfam family: Bacterial small subunit ribosomal RNA
Source: RNAcentral
AGGACGAACGCUGGCGGCGUGCUUAACACAUGCAAGUCGAGCGGAAAGGCCCUUCGGGGUACUCGAGCGGCGAACGGGUGAGUAACACGUGAGUAAUCUGCCCCUAGCUCUGGGAUAGCUCCGGGAAACCGGGAUUAAUACCGGAUACGACCCCUUCGGACAUCUGAAGGGGUGGAAAGAUUUAUCGGUUAGGGAUGAGCUCGCGGCCUAUCAGCUUGUUGGUGGGGUAACGGCCCACCAAGGCGACGACGGGUAGCCGGCCUGAGAGGGCGACCGGCCACACUGGGACUGAGACACGGCCCAGACUCCUACGGGAGGUAGCAGUGGGGAAUAUUGCGCAAUGGGCGAAAGCCUGACGCAGCGACGCCGCGUGGGGGAUGAAGGCCUUCGGGUUGUAAACCCCUUUCAGCAGGGACGAAGCGAAAGUGACGGUACCUGCAGAAGAAGCGCCGGCUAACUACGUGCCAGCAGCCGCGGUAACACGUAGGGCGCAAGCGUUGUCCGGAAUUAUUGGGCGUAAAGGGUGUGUAGGCGGUCGCCUAAGUUUGGUGUGAAAUCUCCCGGCUCAGCCGGGAGGGUGCGCCGAAUACUGAGUGACUAGAGUGUGGGAGAGGAAAGUGGAAUUCCUGGUGUAGCGGUGAAAUGCGUAGAUAUCAGGAGGAACACCGGCGGUGUAGACGGCUUUCUGGACCAUAACUGACGCUGAAACACGAAAGCGUGGGUAGCAAACAGGAUUAGAUACCCUGGUAGUCCACGCCCUAAACGAUGCAUAUUUGGUGUGGGUCAUUCAGUUGAUCCGUGCCGGAGCUAACGCGUUAAAUAUGCCGCCUGGGGAGUACAGUCGCAAGGCUGAA